GUGGGGAAUUUUGGACAAUGGGCGCAAGCCUGAUCCAGCAAUGCCGCGUGCAGGAAGAAGGCCUUCGGGUUGUAAACUGCUUUUGUACGGAACGAAAAGGCUCUGGUUAAUACCUGGGGCUCAUGACGGUACCGUAAGAAUAAGCACCGGCUAACUACGUGCCAGCAGCCGCGGUAAUACGUAGGGUGCAAGCGUUAAUCGGAAUUACUGGGCGUAAAGCGUGCGCAGGCGGUUUUGUAAGACAGACGUGAAAUCCCCGGGCUCAACCUGGGAAUGGCGUUUGUGACUGCAAAGCUGGAGUGCGGCAGAGGGGGAUGGAAUUCCGCGUGUAGCAGUGAAAUGCGUAGAUAUGCGGAGGAACACCGAUGGCGAAGGCAGUCCCCUGGGCCUGUACUGACGCUCAUGCACGAAAGCGUGGGGAGCAAACAGGAUUAGAUACCCGUGUAGUCC
Molecule: ribosomal RNA, 450 nt
Filed under: uncultured bacterium
Lineage: Bacteria
Description: partial 16S ribosomal RNA
Rfam family: Bacterial small subunit ribosomal RNA
Source: RNAcentral